UACGGAGGGGGCUAGCGUUGUUCGGAAUGACUGGGCGUAAAGCGCGCGUAGGCGGAUCGGUAAGUUGGGGGUGAAAGCCCAGGGCUCAACCUUGGAACGGCCUUCGAGACUCCCGGUCUGGAGUUCGAGAGAGGUGGGUGGAAUUCCGGGUGUAGAGGUGAAAUUCGUAGAUAUUCGGAGGAACACCAGUGGCGAAGGCGGCCCACUGGCUCUAUACUGACGCUGAGGCGCGAAAGCGUGGGGAGCAAACAGG
RNAcentral lists this ribosomal RNA (253 nucleotides) under uncultured bacterium. RNAcentral describes it as "partial 16S ribosomal RNA". It matches the Rfam family "Bacterial small subunit ribosomal RNA", at positions 524 to 776 of the family's 1533-position model. The record is from RNAcentral.